Molecule: long non-coding RNA, 100 nt
Organism: Mus musculus (house mouse)
Lineage: Eukaryota; Metazoa; Chordata; Mammalia; Rodentia; Muridae
Product: predicted gene, 33540
Exons: 3
Source: RefSeq, a predicted model, not a curated record
GCGAUGGAUAUGGACUUUCAUGGACAUAGGAAUUGUGGACACAGCAGCUGAAGCUGAGGUCACAUGUGAAGAGAACGAGAUCCCCAGUCUGGCUGAGCAC